ACGAAAUAAAAGGGGAGCUCAAUAAAGUGGGCUGAGAGUAAGCAGAUUCGCUUAGACCCUAGAACCUGAUUUGGGUAAUGCCAACGUAGGGACAUGUACAGAAUGCUUU
This 109-nucleotide non-coding RNA is filed under the name Clostridiales bacterium. RNAcentral's name for it is "TPP". It matches the Rfam family "TPP riboswitch aptamer (THI element)". Rfam says of the family: Vitamin B(1) in its active form thiamin pyrophosphate (TPP) is an essential coenzyme that is synthesised by coupling of pyrimidine and thiazole moieties in bacteria. The previously detected thiamin-regulatory element, thi box was extended, resulting in a new, highly conserved RNA secondary structure, the THI element, which is widely distributed in eubacteria and also occurs in some archaea. Analysis of operon structures identified a large number of new candidate thiamin-regulated genes, mostly transporters, in various prokaryotic organisms. RNAcentral also lists the same sequence under 1 other name. Lineage: Bacteria; Bacillati; Bacillota; Clostridia; Eubacteriales. The record is from RNAcentral.